CUGCUGCCUUCCGUAGGAGUUUGGGCCGUGUCUCAGUCCCAAUGUGGCCGGUCACCCUCUCAGGUCGGCUACUGAUCGUCGCCUUGGUGAGCCGUUACCUCUCCAACUAGCUAAUCAGACGCGGGUCCAUCUCAUACCACCGGAGUUUUUCACACCAAACCAUGCGGUUUUGUGCGCUUAUGCGGUUUUAGCAGUCAUUUCUAACUGUUAUCCCCCUGUAUGAGGCAGGUUACCCACGCGUUACUCACCCGUCCGCCACU
This 260-nucleotide ribosomal RNA is filed under the name uncultured bacterium. RNAcentral describes it as "partial 16S ribosomal RNA". The record is from RNAcentral.